UACGAGAGGCAACAACAUGGUCUUUCAAUCAGAGCUCUGCAUUUUCAGGGUAUCUUCCCACUACAGUAUGUGGUUUGUCUGAAAAGCUUCCAGGGAGUUAAAAUGGAAAAGUGAAAGGAUUAGUGGCAGAGAAAAAAAUGGACAUUUGUCAGGAUGAAGGAGGGACUGAACUGGAACUCACAGCACACAUUCGUCUUCUGAUCUCAUGAAACUUCCAGAGUGAUUUCACAGUGUCCUGGUGCUUUUUUUGGACAGCAGUUGGCGCUUAGUGUCGCAUGGUAAUCUUGUUUAUAUGGGAGCUUUUUGUUUCGGAAUAAUGUUGGUGACCAAAUAACAUGGUAAUUUUCUUUUUUGCAGUACAUGUCCUGCUGAAAAGAUAGAGAGAUACAGAGUGAGCUGGAAUGAGAUGGAGAACAUACCCAUAAUUACAAGAAGAACAAAAAGCACCAACAAAGCCAUUCAGUCUUCUCCAAAUUGCAAAGAGGAAUUCCAAGAAGAUUCAUCAAUAUACUGUAAAUGAAGAGGCACUUGAAUUCCUUUGUCCGUUCCCCAGCCUCUGAGGUCUAUAAUGAGAGAGAAUAAACACGGCUUUAUCACCAGGGAGGAUUUAAACAGACAAGCAUGGGAGGAGAGCUUAACGGUUUCAAGGACAAGAGGUGUUUAAUUUUUCAGCUGAUAAUCAUCCACCCAUUUAGCAUAUGUCACACAGCGCGCUAAUCAUCAAUCACCUUUUAAUGAACUGCACCGCAUUUCCUGCACUGUUCAAUCGUCGUUUGUUUCAGAAAGCUUCCUUUAUAAUGUCCAUCUCUUUAUUGUUUUGUGAAUCAUUUAGUUAGAGUGUGUCUGUAUAUGUGUGUGUAUUGUGAUUAUUCGCA
Molecule: long non-coding RNA, 875 nt
Organism: Sinocyclocheilus rhinocerous
Lineage: Eukaryota; Metazoa; Chordata; Actinopteri; Cypriniformes; Cyprinidae
Exons: 4
Source: RefSeq, a predicted model, not a curated record